Brassica oleracea var. oleracea is the source of this 1757-nucleotide RNA transcript. It is a transcript of the gene named zinc finger CCCH domain-containing protein 69-like, with no coding region annotated. The record is from RefSeq and is a predicted model, not a curated record. The transcript is spliced from 7 exons. NCBI's taxonomy places the organism in Eukaryota, Viridiplantae, Streptophyta, Magnoliopsida, Brassicales, Brassicaceae.
CUUCAUCCAUCAAGCGUAUAAAAAUCUCCAUCAGGGAUUUAAUGAUAAUCAGAGCCGAACGCAAAUACGACGUCGUAUUAGCGUACGGUGGGGAUUCGUCUACACAAUCUCAUCCUUUGUCCAAGCUUGGAAGAAGAAAAAACGCAGAGCUGCUACGCCGCCUUGUAAAUUCAGAGGAUAAAACCGCUUCCUCGAGCCAGCGCCGAGUUCGAUUCCUGUUCCCCCAAGGACUCCCUCCAUCUCCCCGAUGUCGAAAAGGAUCCUUUGUAAGUUCUUUGCUCACGGGGCUUGCUUAAAAGGUGACAACUGCGAAUUCUCACAUGACUGGAAGGAUCCUACAAAUAAUGUUUGCACCUUCUACCAGAGAGGUCUCUGCUCUUACGGAAGCCGAUGCAGGUACGAACACGUCAAACUCAAACCUCAUCCAUCUCCUGCUUCAUCUUCCUCCGCUCUGCCUCGAUCAUCUGCUUCAGAAAAGGAUUUGAGCCCACUUCCCUCAUCACCAGCGUGGACUUCGGAUUCCUCAGACAACACCUUCACCUUCAGCUCUUCUACAUCCAAACCACAAGACCAACCCAUCUGCUCAUACGCCGCAGCUGGUGACUGCCCGCGUGGCAACCAAUGCCCCCACAUCCACGGAGACCUUUGCCCAACUUGCGGGAAACGUUGCUUGCAUCCUUUCAGGCCCGAGGAGAGGGAGGAGCACAAGAAAGCGUGCGAGAAAAAGCACAAGCAGCUCGAAGCGCUGAAACUUAGCCAGGAGGUGGAGUGCUGCGUCUGUUUGGAACGUGUACUCUCUAAGCCAACUCCAGCUGAACGCAAGUUUGGGCUGCUCACUGAGUGUGAUCAUGCUUUCUGCAUAGGUUGCAUCAGGAACUGGCGUAGCAGUUCUCCUUCCACCGGUAUGGAUGUCAACAGCACGCUGAGGGCUUGCCCCAUUUGCCGCAAGUUGUCGUAUUUUGUAGUUCCUAGUGUCAUCUGGUUCUCAGCUCCCGAGGAGAAAAAAGAAAUCAUGGACAACUACAGGGACAAACUCAGGUCAAUUGAUUGUAAGCACUUCAAUUUCGGAGAUGGGAAUUGUCCGUUCGGAACAAGUUGCUUCUACAAGCACACUGUGAAGCCAGGGUCAUAUGCAUGGAAAUACCACAGACCACCUCCAAGGCGUCCAAGUCCCUCUGGUUCUAACUUGUCAGACAUGGAUACAUUUUUUAACAUGAUGGGGAGCAUAAUGUCAGAAGGAGAGUAUGAUCCUUUUGGAUUUGAAGAUUCAGACGAUGACGAACUGACUACUACGGAUAUGAUGAUGUUACUGCUGAACUUGGAUAUGGAGUCCGAUGAGGAUAUCUAUUAGCUAGACAUAUUUAAGUUACCGUAAAACAUGCGUUUCAUGAUGGUCGUUUGGAGGAAGUGGUUCUGCGGCAUCUGGAUGCAGAAGAUGGGCAGACUGUGAUAGCAAAAGAUAUAAGGUUGUCUGACUUUCUUGAGGGUAUGCGUAUAUGAAUGAGGACUCUCUUAAGCACAAUAAAAGACAAUGCAAACAUGUUAUAAUGAACACCUCUCUCUCUCUCUCUCUCCCCCAAUUGGUCAUUCAUUACAAUUGACUGAUUUAAGUUGGAAGAUUUUGUCUUGGAUACCAAUGCUUUGUGACCUGGGAUAAGACUUGAAUUAUUUGUACUCAUUUUUUGUAUUUUUAACAAUUGUUACAACUUCAAGUUUACCCCUGGGCGAAAAAAAAAAACUGGUCUGGAUCAUUUGUA